CUCGUAGGCGGUUCAGUAAGUCGGCUGUGAAAUUCCGAGGCUCAACCUCGGAACUGCAGUCGAUACUAUUGUGACUAGAGUCCGGUAGAGGAGAAUGGAAUUCCCGGUGUAGCGGUGAAAUGCGCAGAUAUCGGGAGGAACACCAGUAGCGAAGGCGGUUCUCUGGGCCGGCACUGACGCUGAGGAGCGAAAGCGUGGGGAGCAAACA
Molecule: ribosomal RNA, 208 nt
Filed under: uncultured bacterium
Lineage: Bacteria
Description: partial 16S ribosomal RNA
Rfam family: Bacterial small subunit ribosomal RNA
Source: RNAcentral